CCUGCUCGGUUUAGGCCUGUCUGCGGAAUCCGCACCAACCAGCACCAUGCCCAUGAUACUGGGGUACUGGGACAUCCGCGGGUGAAUAGCCAUGGAGCUCCUAAAAAGAAUGGGACCUUUCACUUGACCUCCCUUCUCUCCCUUGCCUACUGCCCCUGAGCGAGUGCUUCAGCUACAGUCUGGGAGCCGAAGAUGCCUGUGUUUGAUGCCUCCAGCACCCUGUCUCUGCAUCUUGAAUCCAGCCACGUGACCAUCUCUUGCCCACCUUUGGCCAAUGUCCCUGAGACAUUUCAAGUGCAUCAUGCUGCAGACUGGUGUUGCUGUCUCCACAAUACCGCGCUUCCCCUGUGUCCCCAUCUCAGUCUUUGGUCCCACUAUCCACUUCCCACAUGCAGCCAUUGAGUCCUCUAUUUUUCUUCCUUAAAUCUCCAGAAUCUGC
Molecule: long non-coding RNA, 439 nt
Filed under: Homo sapiens (human)
Lineage: Eukaryota; Metazoa; Chordata; Mammalia; Primates; Hominidae
Description: HSALNT0012263
Source: RNAcentral